This 447-nucleotide ribosomal RNA is filed under the name uncultured bacterium. RNAcentral's name for it is "bacterial SSU rRNA". It matches the Rfam family "Bacterial small subunit ribosomal RNA", at positions 28 to 464 of the family's 1533-position model. The record is from RNAcentral.
GAUGAACGCUAGCGACAGGCUUAACACAUGCAAGUCGAGGGGCAGCAUGGUUUGUAGCAAUACAAACUGAUGGCGACCGGCGCACGGGUGAGUAACGCGUAUGCAACUUACCUAUCAGAGGGGGAUAGCCCGGCGAAAGUCGGAUUAAUACCCCAUAAAACAGGGGUCCCGCAUGGGAAUAUUUGUUAAAGAUUUAUUGCUGAUAGAUAGGCAUGCGUUCCAUUAGGCAGUUGGCGGGGUAACGGCCCACCAAACCGACGAUGGAUAGGGGUUCUGAGAGGAAGGUCCCCCACAUUGGUACUGAGACACGGACCAAACUCCUACGGGAGGCAGCAGUGAGGAAUAUUGGUCAAUGGCCGAGAGGCUGAACCAGCCAAGUCGCGUGAAGGAAGAAGGAUCUAUGGUUUGUAAACUUCUUUUAUAGGGGAAUAAAGUGAGGGACGUGUC